GACGAACGCUGGCGGCGUGCUUAACACAUGCAAGUCGAACGCUGAAGCUUGGUGCUUGCACUGGGUGGAUGAGUGGCGAACGGGUGAGUAAUACGUGAGUAACCUGCUCUUGACUCUGGGAUAAGCCUGGGAAACUGGGUCUAAUACUGGAUACGACAUGUCACCGCAUGGUGGUGUGUGGAAAGGGUUUUACUGGUUUUGGAUGGGCUCACGGCCUAUCAGCUUGUUGGUGGGGUAAUGGCUCACCAAGGCGACGACGGGUAGCCGGCCUGAGAGGGUGACCGGCCACACUGGGACUGAGACACGGCCCAGACUCCUACGGGAGGCAGCAGUGGGGAAUAUUGCACAAUGGGCGGAAGCCUGAUGCAGCGACGCCGCGUGAGGGAUGACGGCCUUCGGGUUGUAAACCUCUUUCAGCACGGAAGAAGCGAAAGUGACGGUACGUGCAGAAGAAGCGCCGGCUAACUACGUG
Molecule: ribosomal RNA, 472 nt
Filed under: uncultured bacterium
Lineage: Bacteria
Description: partial 16S ribosomal RNA
Rfam family: Bacterial small subunit ribosomal RNA
Source: RNAcentral